UACGAAGGGGGCUAGCGUUGCUCGGAAUCACUGGGCGUAAAGGGUGCGUAGGCGGGUCGGUAAGUCCGCUGUGAAAGUCGGGGGCUCAACCCUCGGAUGCCGGUGGAUACUGUCGGGCUAGAGUACGGAAGAGGCGAGUGGAAUUCCUGGUGUAGCGGUGAAAUGCGCAGAUAUCAGGAAGAACACCCGUGGCGAAGGCGGCUCUCUGGGACGGUACUGACGCUGAGACGCGAAAGCGUGGGGAGCGAACAGG
Molecule: ribosomal RNA, 253 nt
Filed under: uncultured bacterium
Lineage: Bacteria
Description: partial 16S ribosomal RNA
Rfam family: Bacterial small subunit ribosomal RNA
Source: RNAcentral